Molecule: ribosomal RNA, 540 nt
Filed under: uncultured Geobacteraceae bacterium
Lineage: Bacteria; Pseudomonadati; Thermodesulfobacteriota; Desulfuromonadia; Geobacterales; Geobacteraceae
Description: bacterial SSU rRNA
Rfam family: Bacterial small subunit ribosomal RNA
Source: RNAcentral
GAGUUUGAUCCUGGCUCAGAACGAACGCUGGCGGCGUGCCUAACACAUGCAAGUCGAACGUGAUCCAGAGCUUGCUCUGGUGAAAGUGGCGCACGGGUGAGUAACGCGUGGAUAACCUACCCUGGUAUCCGGGAUAACAUUCCGAAAGGGGUGCUAAUACCGGAUAAGCCCACGGGCUCUUUGGAGCUUGCGGGAAAAGGUGGCCUCUAUUUAUAAGCUACUGUAUCAGGAUGGGUCCGCGUACCAUUAGCUAGUUGGCGGUGUAACGGACCACCAAGGCGACGAUGGUUAGCUGGUCUGAGAGGAUGAUCAGCCACACUGGAACUGAGACACGGUCCAGACUCCUACGGGAGGCAGCAGUGGGGAAUUUUGCGCAAUGGGGGAAACCCUGACGCAGCAACGCCGCGUGAGUGAUGAAGGCCUUUGGGUCGUAAAGCUCUGUCAGAGGGGAAGAAAUGAUAUCGUGCUAAUACCACUUUAUCUUGACGGUACCCUCAAAGGAAGCACCGGCUAACUCCGUGCCAGCAGCCGCGGUAAUAC